Cryptomeria japonica (Japanese cedar) is the source of this 700-nucleotide long non-coding RNA. RefSeq lists it as uncharacterized. The record is from RefSeq and is a predicted model, not a curated record. The transcript is spliced from 2 exons. NCBI's taxonomy places the organism in Eukaryota, Viridiplantae, Streptophyta, Pinopsida, Cupressales, Cupressaceae.
CUUCAAAUUUAUUUGCACCCUCUAUCAAAAUUUAAUCUUAUUUCCAGGAUUUGUUAUUUCGAAAUAGUUUAUUUGAAUGAGAGGUCAAAUUGCACCCAGUUUCCUCAAGAUAAAUUCUUCGAAUGAGAUGUCACGUUGCGCCUGAUGUCCUCACAUUUGUUUAGAAGGCUACUAAAUGAUGACCUUCAAUUUGAGUUCUGUUUCAACUCCAGGUGACAUGGUUACUCUUGCUCGUCUGGCAAAGGUAGGUGUAGUGGUGGUUAGUGAGGUGGGCCAUUCUCUUCAUGUGGAAGGAAUAUGCAGAGAAGACCACUUACGUUUUGUUGGCAUGAGGUUUUUAUGCGGAGGAUAUCAACAUUUUGCCGGUUUAUCUCAAGGAAAGCAUCCAAAUGAGUCGUUGCUCAUUCAAGAGCUUGUUAAGGGGUGCUAUCUCAAUCCCUUCCAAGUGAGUAUUUUCUCGCUAGAUUGAUUAAAGGUGGCUAUUUACAACCUUGGUGGCUGUAGGAGUGGGUAAACUCUCCCUAAGUUAUUUCUAAGUCGCUUUUACUGAAUCUGAACCCAAACAUAGGCAUUAAAUAUCCAGUAUGAUCAAAGGAGCUAGCAAGAUAGCUCAAGAUUCCUCUGCUGCCUUUGGUUUGAAUGAGUUGUACUUGUUUGAGUUUCAAUUUGUCUUUGGAUUUUGAAUAUCCAAUUGCUUCAA